This 465-nucleotide ribosomal RNA is filed under the name uncultured bacterium. RNAcentral describes it as "partial 16S ribosomal RNA". It matches the Rfam family "Bacterial small subunit ribosomal RNA", at positions 339 to 795 of the family's 1533-position model. The record is from RNAcentral.
CUACGGGGGGCUGCAGUGGGGAAUAUUGCACAAUGGGCGCAAGCCUGAUGCAGCCAUGCCGCGUGUAUGAAGAAGGCCUUCGGGUUGUAAAGUACUUUCAGCGGGGAGGAAGGGAGUAAAGUUAAUACCUUUGCUCAUUGACGUUACCCGCAGAAGAAGCACCGGCUAAGGCCGUGCCAGCAGGCCGCGGUAAUACGGAGGGUGCAAGCGUUAAUCGGAAUUACUGGGCGUAAAGCGCACGCAGGCGGUUUGUUAAGUCAGAUGUGAAAUCCCCGGGCUCAACCUGGGAACUGCAUCUGAUACUGGCAAGCUUGAGUCUCGUAGAGGGGGGUAGAAUUCCAGGUGUAGCGGUGAAAUGCGUAGAGAUCUGGAGGAGUACCGGUGGCGAAGGCGGCCCCCUGGACGAAGACUGACGCUCAGGUGCGAAAGCGUGGGGAGCAAACAGGAUUAGAUACCCUCGUAGUC